This 410-nucleotide long non-coding RNA is filed under the name Prunus persica (peach). RNAcentral's name for it is "long non-coding RNA (PPER_LNC008229)". Lineage: Eukaryota; Viridiplantae; Streptophyta; Magnoliopsida; Rosales; Rosaceae. The record is from RNAcentral.
GGGUCUAUUUUAUUUCCACUCAAAAGGAAGUGCAUAAGAUAGUACGAUGAUUAAUCAGUGAGUGAAGGUUAAGGUAUUGAAUUCUUAUAUAUUGUUUCUCUUUCACGACGUUACCUUUUGUCCUUUUUUUUUUUUUUUUUGCUUUCCUUUUUUCCUUGUUUUGGUGGAUUGGUGAGGUGGAUAGGUGACAGUUGCAACUUCCAACCAACUGCCUUUUGUAUGCUCGACGGUCUCUGUGCCCAAAUCCUCAGUAUACCUAUUUAGGAAACCUUUCCAAAACAGAAUUUCUAAUAAAACUUGAACCUUACAACUUCCUCGUAUUCUUUGCCUUGCACUUCUCAACUUAAUUGGAACAUGGUCAUUACAAUACUGCCAAUGUAUAAUAAUAUAGCCACUUGCUCACACCCCAC